AACAUUAAUUACAACUUUGAGACUGCCAAGCUUGCCUAAUAUUGUAUUGGCACCCAUUCAUUGUUACUAAUUAAUUUUCUGAAACAAUGAAUUCUUAGAAAUGGCAAAUUUCCCACAGAAAGAUUAAGCACUGGAAAGUUUUCCACCCCACAUUUCUGCUUUGAGAAGAAAACUU
Gavialis gangeticus (Gharial) is the source of this 175-nucleotide long non-coding RNA. RefSeq lists it as uncharacterized. The record is from RefSeq and is a predicted model, not a curated record. The transcript is spliced from 3 exons. NCBI's taxonomy places the organism in Eukaryota, Metazoa, Chordata, Crocodylia, Gavialidae.